Molecule: long non-coding RNA, 824 nt
Filed under: Sorghum bicolor (sorghum)
Lineage: Eukaryota; Viridiplantae; Streptophyta; Magnoliopsida; Poales; Poaceae
Description: long non-coding RNA (SBIC_LNC005929)
Source: RNAcentral
CCGCCACAGAAUUCAGUGUGGUGUACAGCUGAAAAAGGAGGAGUUGGUGUGCUUCUGUUCUGUGUAAAACUUGUGGGCAAGUUGAGACAACUGAAAAGGAGGAAUUGGUCUGGUUCAUAUUAUGUCCCAACCAGUUGCUUCCUUUUCUCUGGACUUACUUUCGUUCUAUGCUGGGGUGGACCAUUUGAAGGGGUUAUUUGUUGAGGUGUUGGACCAUUUGCAUUUGAAGGUGAGAGUUGAGGAGUAUAUCAUUUUUUUUAUUAUUUUUGUGCAGGUGCUCUCUGGACACGAUGUGGUCUUCAAAAACAACAAAAUUGUGGCGUCUCCUAUAGACUAUGGUGGUGGUGCUCCACAAGACUGUCAUACUUAUCAAGACGUGAUGCACCACGGUUGUUGUUGGAGGAUGUUGUUGAAUGUUACCAUGUUUGGCUUUUAGUUGAGGGUUUGUUUGUGAGGCACCCGGUACUCCGGCGUGGCCAUAACUGUCUGUUAGCACUUUUUGUAAAUUGGAAUCCUCAGUUCUGAUCGGGGUUUUUCAAGCUUUCAAACUUCACUCAAUCUGUUGCCGGGCAGGCCUUAUUUAGUUCGUGAAAUUUUUUAUGUUUGGCUAAUACAACACUUUCGUUUUUAUUUGACAACUAUUAUCCAAUUUUAGAUUAACUAGGCUCAAAAGAUUCGUUUCGUAAAUUACAAGUAAACUGUGUAAUUAGUUAUUUUUUUUAGCAUGUGCCGCAAGACUUAAUGUGACGAGGAAUCUUGAAAAAUUUUAGGAACUAAAGCCUCAGUCCAGUUCACGCAUUUGUAGCCACUCUAGAAACAGUUGC